AACGAACGCUGGCGGCAUGCCUAACACAUGCAAGUCGAACGAGACCUUCGGGUCUAGUGGCGCACGGGUGCGUAACGCGUGGGAACCUGCUCUUAGGUUCGGAAUAACUCCCCGAAAGGGGUGCUAAUACCGGAUAAUGUCUUCGGACCAAAGAUUUAUCGCCUUUGGAUGGGCCCGCGUUGGAUUAGCUAGUUGGUAGGGUAAAAGCCUACCAAGGCGACGAUCCAUAGCUGGUCUGAGAGGAUGAUCAGCCACACUGGGACUGAGACACGGCCCAGACUCGUACGAGAGGCAGCAGUGGGGAAUAUUGGACGAUGGGCGAAAGCCUAAUCCAGCAAUGCCGCGUGAGUGAUGAAGGCCUUAGUGUUGUAAAUCUCUUUUACCCGGGAUGAUAAUGACAGUACCGGAAGAAUAAGCUCCGGCUAACUCCGUG
RNAcentral lists this ribosomal RNA (433 nucleotides) under uncultured bacterium. RNAcentral describes it as "partial 16S ribosomal RNA". It matches the Rfam family "Bacterial small subunit ribosomal RNA", at positions 29 to 507 of the family's 1533-position model. The record is from RNAcentral.